This 636-nucleotide ribosomal RNA is filed under the name Triticum aestivum (bread wheat). RNAcentral's name for it is "partial small subunit ribosomal RNA". Lineage: Eukaryota; Viridiplantae; Streptophyta; Magnoliopsida; Poales; Poaceae. The record is from RNAcentral.
AUGAACAUAUAUAUUAUUCAGAUCAUGUCCGCCUCCUUACAGCUAUAUUUGAUACUGCAGGCUGAGACCGAGUACGAGGAUAAUGUGGAGGAUGCCCCCCUCAUGGAUAUCGACAGCGCCUACUCAGGGAAUCUCCUGGCCGCAACUGAGCACGUCAAAGAGAUUUACAAGUUCUACAGAGAAAAUGAGAAGUUUGAGUUGAUGGAUGAGACACUCUUUCUUACCUUGAACAUAAUACACAAAUUCGUGGGAAAACAAGUGGUGCCAAGCAAGAAGCUGCAGUUAGUUGUAGUGACCGCUAUGCUCCUUGCUUGCAAAUAUGAGGAAGUCUCAGAUACACUUGUUGAAGUUCUAGUGCUAAUUUAUGACCAUGCUUGCAUGAAAAGAAAACUUCUGGAAAUGGUAGAGCGGACGGCCAGCGACCAGGACGACGCUCACAACCCAAGUAAGCUCGAGGUCUGCCCGUAUCUCCACAUUCGUGGGAUCCGCCAUUGGUGUCAGCUUCUUCUUGAACCUGGAGCUCCAUCCAGACAGUCACCUCGGCUGCUCCAACCCCUACGCCAUGGAAGGUGUUUUCACCGAGUUGACUCGAGAGAUGCAAGUAAAAGGUGUACAGGUAGAGCGGCCGGCCAAUGA